GCAAAUUAGUAAAAUAUCCCAAUUCAUAUCUCUAAGAAUUUCCUGCUCAAGACAUUGAAUCCUCAGCACCAUUCACACAACUAAGAAUCUAGGGUUUUCCAAUCUCAAGAUCCAGCAUUGAACAUGACAUGAGCUACCCCUUCUGUCAUCCUUUCACCUUAUGUUAUGCAAAUCCUAUUGGGCUGUUUUAAAAUAAAUUAAUUAGCAUAAUUUGUUCUAAAAUUAUCUGAUUGAUGACAUAUGAACUACCAUUAUAAUAACAUACUUUGAUGGCUCUAUGAAGUGUGAACACUAGAAUCUUGGUCAGCUAGCAUCCAAGAGGACCAAGACAACACCACAAAAAGGAUGAAGAGAGACAAAGCAGUAGAGUAAAGAAAUUUACAUCAAUAAAUCCAAUAAUAAAUCAUCAACAUGGCAAGAUCGCAACACAAACAUGAUUAGAACAACAUUAAGGACCAACCCAAAAACAAAAUUAAUAAAGAAAAAGCAAGCCUAUAAUGUCUUAAACAUUACAAGAACAAACAAAAUAACACCCACAUGAGAUCCUUUUCCAUUCAUAUAUAUAGAGAGUAACAAGAUCAAACAUGGGGUUUGUUGGUAAUAGUAUUCAUAACAACAUCAAUCAACGUUUCUUCAUGUUCUUGACCUUAAUCCAUCCUUUCUUGCAUGAUUCUCCCACGAUCUUGACUCCUUUCUUGAACAAAACCGUGAGCUCCUUGGCUCUCACCUUCACCUUGUUCUCAAAAUCACCCAUGUCUAGAGAUGGAGAAAGGGCGAGAAGGGGAGAGAAGAUAAUUAACACAAGAAAAGGAAUAACCUUUUAGUAGAGAAUCUAGAGGUAUAUAUGGACGAAGAGGAAGUUAGGGCAAGCUAAGAUUUGGGUGUCUCCUUUCUGUUAACGAGUAAAGAUAGUUGCUUUGCAAGCCUAGCACAGAGAGAGAGAUUCUAAGGAAAGAAGUGAUGGCUCUUCUUGGUUGGAGGCUACUUAAUGUUAAGGUAAUUACGUGGGAUCCAACGCAUUGAAGGACACGUGGCAAAGAUCAAGUGGGUUACAUGACUUUUUAGCUCCUGAUUGUCUCAUAUUAGACGUUGCGUGUUAUGGUCUUGGUCGAACUGGAGGGUUCGUUUUGUCAGGCAAUAGGCUUUAGUUUUGUCCGAGCUUCGUGUUUAAGACAGGUAAAUUUUAGUUACCAUUUCUCUGAAGAAUUGUGGUAAAUUUAGAUAUUUUCUAAAAAAACAGAAGCCUCCAAUAGAUUCUAUAUAUAAGAAAUUCUUACUGUUUAGAAAAAAGACAUAUUAGAAAUAAAAAUGUAUUUAAUUAAAAAAAUCAUAAUCUUUAAAUGAAUUCUUAUAGUUUUAUUUUUUAAAAAAAACUACUCUUAUCUUCUUAAACAAUAAUUAAGUAUUUAUAAAUAAAUAUAUAUUAAUUUAAUAAUUCUGUCAUUUCUAUUUAAUAUUUAUUUAUAAAUUUUGAUUUUUCUUGAAAUAUUGCUAAUGAAAUUAACUUUCGUCUCUCAUGAAGUAUUCUUGGAAAAUUUAAGAGAUUUUAGUUUUCACUUUAAAAUCCCAUCUUAAAUAAUACUACUACUAAUAAUAAUAAAAAAACAUAUUAUGCAACGACUUGCUUGCAUUGUUGACUUGCUAACCUAGAUGAGAAUCAAGAUUCCAAAGCAUUGCUAUUGGGAUUGAUUAGAUAUCCAGAUCAGAAGAAUAAUUAAUGAAGAAAAUAAAAUUUAAAUGUAAUAUUCUUAUUCUUUUUCUGUGGGAAUUUCUUCUUUCUCGUAAAAUAUGUGAACUUGUUUUUCCUUUACGAGGCCAUUAAUUUAGAUUAUUGCUCCAGCCUCCAACGGCAAAGCACUGACUUAAUCUCUCUCUCUCUGCUUGGGAGAUGGGACCAUAAACGCCAAAUGCUUUAAAUCAUAAAUACUAUUAAAUGAAAAAAAAUGGUUUGGGAACUUGGAACAGCUCAUUGAGAGGUGUUAAAGUGUUCUAACAAAGUUUUUUCCCCAGCCUGGAACAAGCCGAAAGGAGUCAAACUUGACACAAACCUUUAAUACCGUGCAGCCAUUGUGUAAAUACAAUUUAGUAAAGCAACUAGAAAGAAGUGUGUGUGUGUGUAUUGAUAACUUAUUAUUAUUUUUUAUAUUUGAAAUAAAAUACUUAAAUCAUUUAUUUUUGUUAAAAAAAAAUUUAUUUGGUUGCUACAAGAACCCUUAUAUUAACCACUUUUCAACUAAUAUUUUCACCAUCUUUAUAUUAAAUUUAGUAUCCGAUAUUGGACCGCCAUGAAUUUUCUUGUAGCACAAGAGAAAAGCUUGAAAUCGGCUGUUUUCCUUUCUAUCUGCAAAGAUCUUCAGGUGAAUGAAGCCACGAUAAUAGACAAAAAAUCAUGUGAGAAGUAAUUGAUGCACUUUUCAAGCACAUGGCACAGCUUAGCUUCCAUGCAACCAGAGUUUAUCAGGCAAGGAUGAUGAUGAUAAAGGGUCCCUUGUCCACCUGCAAUGUUCAGUUUUAUGUUUUACUUUUCACAGCCUGAGAGUUGAGCUUUAACAGCAUACUGGGAAUAUUACUAUCUCUUUAUCGGACAGUGAACACUUGGAGGAUUGCAACGGCUAUGGAUAAAGCUGAAGUUGGCAUCACUUCGAAUUUAAAAAUAUAAGGAGGACAUCAAGCUGCAGAUAAGAUCAAACGUCCUUGUGAAUUCGACUUUCAAGUCUUUUUUUAAGAUUUUGGGUCCACAGUGUGUUUAGAUUCUUUAGAAUAUUCAUGAUGUGGGCCAAUUGAUCUUGCUGUUUAUAUCAAGCAGCAUUAUUGGACGUUCGAUAUGGGCAGAGAAAAAAUGACUUUGAUGGCUAUAUUCCAAGGAGGAGGGGGGCGAAAGACAGACGAAAAUGUUUGAAGGAGAAUGAUUGGAUCUUCACAGGAACCAAGACUUUUGGUCCGAUCAUAAUUGUGUCUCCUUAAAAUCAAAUAUGGGUUCAACGUGGAAGCUUCAUGAGAGCAUCACUCAUUUCUAAACCUAAGGGAACGUGGAUAUUUUUGUCUGUUAAAUUAUAUUUGGUUAGUGUUUUGAAA
Molecule: long non-coding RNA, 3075 nt
Filed under: Populus trichocarpa (black cottonwood)
Lineage: Eukaryota; Viridiplantae; Streptophyta; Magnoliopsida; Malpighiales; Salicaceae
Description: long non-coding RNA (PTRI_LNC004252)
Source: RNAcentral